ACGAACGCUGGCGGCGUGCUUAACACAUGCAAGUCGAACGUGAUUUUUGUGGAAAUUCUUUCGGGAAUGGAAAUGAAAUGAAAGUGGCGAACGGGUGAGUAACACGUGAGCAACCUACCUUACACAGGGGGAUAGCCGUUGGAAACGACGAUUAAUACCGCAUGAGACCACAGAAUCGCAUGAUAUAGGGGUCAAAGAUUUAUCGGUGUAAGAAGGGCUCGCGUCUGAUUAGCUAGUUGGAAGGGUAAAGGCCUACCAAGGCGACGAUCAGUAGCCGGUCUGAGAGGAUGAACGGCCACAUUGGAACUGAGACACGGUCCAAACUCCUACGGGAGGCAGCAGUGGGGAAUAUUGCACAAUGGGGGGAACCCUGAUGCAGCGACGCCGCGUGAGCGAAGAAGGUUUUCGAAUCGUAAAGCUCUGUCCUAUGAGAAGAUAAUGACGGUAUCAUAGGAGGAAGCCCCGGCUAAAUACGU
This 476-nucleotide ribosomal RNA is filed under the name uncultured bacterium. RNAcentral describes it as "partial 16S ribosomal RNA". It matches the Rfam family "Bacterial small subunit ribosomal RNA", at positions 29 to 506 of the family's 1533-position model. The record is from RNAcentral.